This 1065-nucleotide long non-coding RNA is filed under the name Parus major (Great Tit). RNAcentral describes it as "lncRNA (ENSPMJG00000004445.1)". Lineage: Eukaryota; Metazoa; Chordata; Aves; Passeriformes; Paridae. The record is from RNAcentral.
UUUAAAGAAGUAUUCAUGGCAAGGGUAAUAAAGUAUUGGACUGAUGAGAUAUUGAGGCAUUCUUGUCAGAGUACAGAGAUUGCCCCUGGAAGCAGACAUUUAUUUUUUUCCCCCUGAAAUUUACCUUCAGGAGCAUGAAAACACCUUCAUUCCACUGAAGCAUUUCCAUUUCUUCCUUCUUCAUAGAAACUCAUCGUUUCUGUCAUUUAUUUGUAGGUAUUUCUCAGUGCCUGCUAUUAUUUACUUGAGAAAUCAAGGGAAAUCAAAAUUCUACAUAAAUGGUCAUUAAUACUCACUCGGGUGACAAGCCUCUUUCAUUUUUUUCCUCCUUACCCUGUAAAAGUUUUCUUCUAGAAAAUGAAGCUUCAAGAAUUUGCUUCUUCCAACAGUAAUGGGGCUUUUAAGUGAAGAUGUGAAUGACACGAGCUGCUGGAGGGCUGCCCUGGGGGAGCAGCAGAGCUCCCAGGCACCAGAGAUCUGCUCAGUGUGGGAAGUCUGAGGAAUUUGGUCUGGAGCUGCCUUGGAAAUGGAGAGUUGAGAUGUCACUCUGUGUUCUGUAAUAGAGUAACAUCUGUCCACUGAUGACAGCCCCAUCAAACAUUGCUGUGUCUGUUCGCUUCAGUUAAGCAAGUUAAAAUUAUCAGCAGUGGAAUGUUCUUGUUUGUGUUCUUUUUAGCCCUCUGUAGCAAAUACUAAAUGUGCUCUUCCUUCCUGGAAGCUUCUUGUUGUUCUGUUAAUGAGACUUCACACAUUAAAGAGCAUGGUGGAGCCAGGAUGACACACUUGACGUUUUCUUGUUGCUAGGAAAGGAUGAAUCUGCUGUCUAACGUGUUGAUUUUCCUUUUGAAUCUAUCCAAUGUAUCCCAUUAAAAUUUUCCUUCAUUUAAGCUGUAAAAUCAAAUUCUCACUUCCUAGAGCCAAAAGCUGGGGCUCAUUAAUACUCAGAGUGAGCUUAAACCCAUAGUUUAAUAAUUGAAUUAACUUAAAAAGGUAAAUAUACUAAUUUUUUUGUAGUUCACAAGAGGUAUUUUCCCCCUCCUGCAGCAUAAUUUAGAAGGUCUGAUU